GACGAACCGUGCAAACGUUGUUCGGAUUCACUGGGCUUAAAGGGCGCGUAGGCGGGUGGUCAAGUCAGGGGUGAAAUCUUUCAGCUCAACUGGAAAACAGCUUCUGAUACUGGCCAUCUUGAGGGAGGUAGGGGCAUGUGGAACUUCCGGUGGAGCGGUGAAAUGCGUAGAUAUCGGAAGGAACGCCGGUGGCGAAAGCGACGUGCUGGACCUUUUCUGACGCUGAGGCGCGAAAGCCAGGGGAGCAAACGGGAUUAGAUACCCCGGUAGUCCUGGCCCUAAACGAUGGGUACUAGAUUGUAGACUGAACAUGGGUUUACAGUCGAAGCAAAAGUGUUAAGUACCCCGCCUGGGGAGUAUGGUCGCAAGGCUGAA
This 375-nucleotide ribosomal RNA is filed under the name uncultured bacterium. RNAcentral describes it as "bacterial SSU rRNA". It matches the Rfam family "Bacterial small subunit ribosomal RNA", at positions 524 to 898 of the family's 1533-position model. The record is from RNAcentral.